Molecule: ribosomal RNA, 245 nt
Filed under: uncultured Alphaproteobacteria bacterium
Lineage: Bacteria; Pseudomonadati; Pseudomonadota; Alphaproteobacteria
Description: partial 16S ribosomal RNA
Rfam family: Bacterial small subunit ribosomal RNA
Source: RNAcentral
GACGGAGGGUGCUAGCGUUGUUCGGAAUUACUGGGCGUAAAGGGCGCGUAGGCGGCUCUUUCAGUCGGAUGUGAAAGCCCGGGGCUCAACCCCGGAACGGCAUCCGAGACGGGAGGGCUCGAGACCGGGAGAGGAGGGUGGAAUAGCCAGUGUAGAGGUGAAAUUCGUAGAUAUUGGCUGGAACACCGGUGGCGAAAGCGGCUCUCUGGCCCGGUUCUGACGCUGAGGCGCGAAAGCGUGGGGAG